RNAcentral lists this ribosomal RNA (480 nucleotides) under uncultured bacterium. RNAcentral describes it as "partial 16S ribosomal RNA". It matches the Rfam family "Bacterial small subunit ribosomal RNA", at positions 28 to 523 of the family's 1533-position model. The record is from RNAcentral.
GACGAACGCUGGCGGCGUGCCUAACACAUGCAAGUCGAGCGAGUGAAUCUCCUUCGGGAGUGAAGCUAGCGGCGGACGGGUGAGUAACACGUGGGCAACCUGCCUCAUAGAGGGGAAUAGCCUUUCGAAAGGAAGAUUAAUACCGCAUAAGAUUGUAGCUUCGCAUGAAGUAGCAACUAAAGGAGCAAUCCGCUAUGAGAUGGGCCCGCGGCGCAUUAGCUAGUUGGUGAGGUAACGGCUCACCAAGGCGACGAUGCGUAGCCGACCUGAGAGGGUGAUCGGCCACAUUGGGACUGAGACACGGCCCAGACUCCUACGGGAGGCAGCAGUGGGGAAUAUUGCACAAUGGGGGAAACCCUGAUGCAGCAACGCCGCGUGAGUGAUGACGGCCUCCGGGUUGUAAAGCUCUGUCUUCAGGGACGAUAAUGACGGUACCUGAGGAGGAAGCCACGGCUAACUACGUGCCAGCCGCCGCGGUAA